GCUAGUUGUGUCCGUGAAAUAAAGUGAUUCCUCUGAAAAAUCUAGAGGAGAGCAUUGGCAGACUGUUUCUUUUUCUCAGUUACCUGUGUUUCGUAUUGUGUUUUCAGUCCAAAAUGCAGCUGAAGUUCUCUAGGAAAGAGAAAGCAAAGAGUCACAAUUGAAGUAUGAUGCCAGUAUUUCUUCCGACCAUGUGUCUUGGGGACUUAACUCCAAAUGUGUCUCAACACAAUGGCAAAAAACAAUACUCUGCUUUUCUCCCCCCCCCCCUUUCUUUGGUAGUUAUUGACAGCAAAUUCUCAAACUGCCAUAACAAAUUCACUAAAAUCACUGUCAUUAUCUUCUCAACCAGAAAUGAGAAUAAAUAUAUCUGUGGGCAUCAAUACCCUUGUGUUUGGACUCAGCGAGGUACUGCAAUGUUGAGGAUAUGGAUAACUCCCACCUCUAAAGAAUUCAUUUGCAUUUCCCUGGAGCUGCCUAAUGUGGUGCAGCACAUUCAUUUGUACUCGUAG
This 509-nucleotide long non-coding RNA is filed under the name Microcebus murinus (gray mouse lemur). Its description in RNAcentral is "lncRNA (ENSMICG00000048224.1)". The record is from RNAcentral. Lineage: Eukaryota; Metazoa; Chordata; Mammalia; Primates; Cheirogaleidae.